Molecule: long non-coding RNA, 573 nt
Organism: Heterocephalus glaber (naked mole-rat)
Lineage: Eukaryota; Metazoa; Chordata; Mammalia; Rodentia; Bathyergidae
Source: Ensembl
CUCAUGUGUCUGCUGGACAUUGUCACUGCUCUGUGCUUAUUGUGCAGUGUGAUAGUGUACAGUAGUACGGUGCUGAAUCAGAGCCAAGGAUGUCUAGAAGCAAGAGGAAAAGCAGUAGUGAUGUGGAGGGGACUGCUAGAAAGCUCAAAGCAAUAACCAUGGAAACAAAAGAGGGUAGACAGAAUUGAAUUCAUCAAAAACCCUGUGUCAGCCAGGCAUGGUGACACAUGCCUGUAAUCCCAGCACUGAGGAGGCUGAGGCAGGAGAAUUGCCUUGAGUUUGAGGCCAGCCUGGGCUAUAUAGUGAAUUCAAGGACAGUCUGAACUACAUAGUGAGACCCUGCUUCAACAACAACAACAACAACACCUCAAAAGACAACCUGUGUCAUCAGCAUCAGUUAUGAAUGGAGGUCCUUCUUGCCCUCCAUCCCGCACUGCUGAUGAUCCUUCAGCCCCACCAUCUCCCGCCUACCUUCCCUCUUUUAGUUAGUAACUCUCUUCUUGUCAGUUACUCCAUGCAGUCCCCUACAUGCCAGUUGUACUGUACUGUACUGUACCACCAUUUAAAGGUGAC